Molecule: small nucleolar RNA, 64 nt
Filed under: Trypanosoma theileri
Lineage: Eukaryota; Euglenozoa; Kinetoplastea; Trypanosomatida; Trypanosomatidae
Description: Trypanosomatid snoRNA TB8Cs2H1
Rfam family: Trypanosomatid snoRNA TB8Cs2H1
Source: Rfam by way of RNAcentral
GCAUUUUACUUCGCUCGUCCCACUUUACCCGUGAGUGUGCUUGACGAUGAACGGCGAAGGGAGA